GAGUUUGAUCCUGGCUCAGGAUGAACGCUAGCUACAGGCUUAACACAUGCAAGUCGAGGGGAAACGGCAUAGAGUGCUUGCACUCUUUGGACGUCGACCGGCGCACGGGUGAGUAACGCGUAUCCAACCUUCCCAUUACUGUGGGAUAACCUGCCGAAAGGCAGACUAAUACCGCAUGGUCUUCGAUGACGGCAUCAGAUUUGAAGUAAAGAUUUAUCGGUAAUGGAUGGGGAUGCGUCUGAUUAGCUUGUUGGCGGGGUAACGGCCCACCAAGGCGACGAUCAGUAGGGGUUCUGAGAGGAAGGUCCCCCACAUUGGAACUGAGACACGGCCCAAACUCCUACGGGAGGCUUUAGUGAGGAAUAUUGUUCAUUGUUUGAUAGCUUGA
RNAcentral lists this ribosomal RNA (388 nucleotides) under uncultured bacterium. RNAcentral's name for it is "bacterial SSU rRNA". It matches the Rfam family "Bacterial small subunit ribosomal RNA", at positions 9 to 386 of the family's 1533-position model. The record is from RNAcentral.